This 253-nucleotide ribosomal RNA is filed under the name uncultured bacterium. RNAcentral describes it as "partial 16S ribosomal RNA". It matches the Rfam family "Bacterial small subunit ribosomal RNA", at positions 524 to 776 of the family's 1533-position model. The record is from RNAcentral.
UACGAAGGGGGCUAGCGUUGCUCGGAAUCACUGGGCGUAAAGCGCACGUAGGCGGAUUGUUAAGUCAGGGGUGAAAUCCUGGAGCUCAACUCCAGAACUGCCUUUGAUACUGGGAGUCUCGAGUCCGGGAGAGGUGAGUGGAACUGCGAGUGUAGAGGUGAAAUUCGUAGAUAUUCGCAAGAACACCAGUGGCGAAGGCGGCUCACUGGCCCGGUACUGACGCUGAGGUGCGAAAGCGUGGGGAGCAAACAGG